AUACGGAGGGUGCAAGCGUUACUCCGAAUCACUGGGCGUAAAGCGCGCGCAGGCGGCUAUUUAAGUUGGAUGUGAAAGCCUACGGCUCAACCGUAGAACUGCAUCCAAAACUAUUUAGCUAGAGUGUGGGAGAGGAAGAUGGAAUUAGUUGUGUAGGGGUAAAAUCCGUAGAGAUAACUAGGAAUACCAAAAGCGAAGGCAAUCUUCUGGAACACUACUGACGCUGAGGCGCGAAAGCGUGGGGAGCAAACAGGAUUAGAAACCCUAGUAGUCC
Molecule: ribosomal RNA, 274 nt
Filed under: uncultured bacterium
Lineage: Bacteria
Description: partial 16S ribosomal RNA
Rfam family: Bacterial small subunit ribosomal RNA
Source: RNAcentral